RNAcentral lists this ribosomal RNA (467 nucleotides) under uncultured bacterium. Its description in RNAcentral is "partial 16S ribosomal RNA". It matches the Rfam family "Bacterial small subunit ribosomal RNA", at positions 28 to 506 of the family's 1533-position model. The record is from RNAcentral.
GACGAACGCUGGCGGCGUGCUUAACACAUGCAAGUCGAACGGUGAAGCUCCAGCUUGCUGGAGUGGAUCAGUGGCGAACGGGUGAGUAACACGUGAGCAACCUGCCCCUGACUCUGGAAUAAGCGCUGGAAACGGCGUCUAAUACUGGAUACGAGAAGGGUCCGCAUGGGCACUUUCUGGAAAGUUUUUCGGUUGGGGAUGGGCUCGCGGCCUAUCAGCUUGUUGGUGAGGUAAUGGCUCACCAAGGCGACGACGGGUAGCCGGCCUGAGAGGGCGACCGGCCACACUGGGACUGAGACACGGCCCAGACUCCUACGGGAGGCAGCAGUGGGGAAUAUUGCACAAUGGGCGAAAGCCUGAUGCAGCGACGCCGCGUGAGGGAUGACGGCCUUCGGGUUGUAAACCUCUUUCAGCAGGGAAGAAGCGAAAGUGACGGUACCUGCAGAAGAAGCACCGGCGAACUACGU